UACGGGGGGAGCAAGCGUUGUUCGGAUUUACUGGGCGUAAAGGGCGGGUAGGCGGCCACUGCAAGUCGGUUGGGAAAUCUCCGGGCUUAACCCGGAAAGGUCAAUCGAUACUGCAGGGCUAGAGUGCAGAAGGGGCAACUGGAAUUCUCGGUGUAGCGGUGAAAUGCGUAGAUAUCGAGAGGAACACCUGCGGCGAAGGCGGGUUGCUGGGCUGACACUGACGCUGAACUGCGAAAGCUAGGGGAGCGAACGGG
RNAcentral lists this ribosomal RNA (254 nucleotides) under uncultured bacterium. RNAcentral describes it as "partial 16S ribosomal RNA". It matches the Rfam family "Bacterial small subunit ribosomal RNA", at positions 524 to 776 of the family's 1533-position model. The record is from RNAcentral.